CGUUGUGAAACCUUAUAAAUAGUUUCUAAGAUCAUGAUCAUGCCUUCUUAAAUUUUCCGUUAACCAUAGUGUGCACGUGUUCCUGGAAAUAAUUUUUUUCCUUCUUCUGUGAAGAAGUUAUAAAAACAAAAAAAAAUGAUCACCAUAUCCAAGAAGUGGCAGAACUUCCACUCUUUAUUUCGAAGAAAAUUCAAACUUUACAAGAAGCAAAAAAAGUCGUAAUCUUUUUUUUUUUUGAAAAAAUUUCAAUGGAAUAAUAUUGUCAAGAUGUACAAAAAAAACAACGAUUAAGGGCAGAAAGAGAAAAAAUGCGAAAUUUUCUUUUGCAUUGAACGUCUUGGAUCUUUGAUUGUUUACGUAUAUAAAAUCAGAAAACGUGAAAAGUGAUGAAAUCGCAUCAAGUCUGUGAUUUGGAGGAUAAGAAAAAGUUGACGAAAUUUUAAAAAGAAAUUUAAAAACAAGUUUCUUUAAAAAUGGAAAAAAAUGUAUUACAAGAACUACAGCAAAAUAUAAAAAAAAAGUGUGUACGAUUUUUUUUUCCUUGGUGAUAUAUUGUUUAUAUUAUAUAAAUAUAAAAAUUAUAUAUUGUAUUUAAAGCAAAGUUGAAAUAAAUUUGUAAAAAUCGCGUUAA
Leptopilina boulardi is the source of this 631-nucleotide long non-coding RNA. RefSeq lists it as uncharacterized. The record is from RefSeq and is a predicted model, not a curated record. NCBI's taxonomy places the organism in Eukaryota, Metazoa, Arthropoda, Insecta, Hymenoptera, Figitidae. The transcript has 4 exons.